CAUCUGUGCCUAGAACGACUGAUAGGAAUCGAUACGUGUAGCCAACUCAUCAGCUCACUGUCGAUCCUUAGUAGCCUGUUUCUGUAUCUCCACUAGCCUUUUGGGUACUCAGAUGGAAUCACCUUAUUAUUGGAAUGACUGGAUGACAACAACCUACCAUCAAAUCUUUUUGAAUCAAAUUUUGAGUUUUUGGAUGGCAAGAACCUGCUAUUAGAUCAUUUGGACAAAAG
Molecule: long non-coding RNA, 230 nt
Filed under: Elaeis guineensis (African oil palm)
Lineage: Eukaryota; Viridiplantae; Streptophyta; Magnoliopsida; Arecales; Arecaceae
Description: long non-coding RNA (EGUI_LNC045563)
Source: RNAcentral